Molecule: ribosomal RNA, 497 nt
Filed under: uncultured bacterium
Lineage: Bacteria
Description: partial 16S ribosomal RNA
Rfam family: Bacterial small subunit ribosomal RNA
Source: RNAcentral
GAUGAACGCUGGCGGCGUGCCUAAUACAUGCAAGUCGAGCGAACAUACGAGGAGCUUGCUCCUCUGACUUUAGCCGCGGACGGGUGAGUAACACGUGGAUAACCUACCUAUAACACUGGGAUAACUUCGGGAAACCGGAUCUAAUACCGGAUAAUAUAUUAAAACGCAGGGUUCAAUAGUAAAAUGCCGUUUUGCUGUCACUUAUAGAUGGAUCCGCGCCGCAUUAGCUAGUUGGUAAGGUAACGGCUUACCAAGGCAACGAUGCGUAGCCGACCUGAGAGGGUGAUCGGCCAAACUGGAACGAGGCAACGGUCAAGACUCCUACGGGAGGCAGCAGUAGGGAAUCUUCCGCAUUGGGCGAAAGCUUGCCGGAGCAACGCGGCGUGAGUGAUGAAGGUCUCCGGAUCGUAAACCUCUGUUAUUAGGGAAGAACAAAUGUGUACGUAAAUAUGCACGUCUUGACGGUACCUAAUCAGAAAGCCACGGCUAACUACGUG